This 497-nucleotide ribosomal RNA is filed under the name uncultured bacterium. RNAcentral describes it as "partial 16S ribosomal RNA". It matches the Rfam family "Bacterial small subunit ribosomal RNA", at positions 28 to 507 of the family's 1533-position model. The record is from RNAcentral.
GAUGAACGCUGGCGGCGUGCCUAAUACAUGCAAGUCGAGCGAACGGACGAGAAGCUUGCUUCUCUGAUGUUAGCGGCGGACGGGUGAGUAACACGUGGAUAACCUACCUAUAAGACUGGGAUAACUUCGGGAAACCGUAGCUAAUACCGGAUAAUAUUUUGAACCGCAUGGUUCAAAAGUGAAAGACGGUCUUGCUGUCACUUAUAGAUGGAUCCGCGCUGCAUUAGCUAGUUGGUAAGGUAACGGCUUACCAAGGCAACGAUGCAUAGCCGACCUGAGAGGGUGAUCGGCCACACUGGAACUGAGCCACGGUCAAGACUCCUACGGGAGGCAGCAGUAGGGAAUCUUCCGCAAUGGGCGAAAGCCUGACGGAGCAACGCCGCGUGAGUGAUGAAGGUCUUCGGAUCGUAAAACUCUGUUAUUAGGGAAGAACAUAUGUGUAAGUAACUGUGCACAUCUUGACGGUACCUAAUCAGAAAGCCACGGCUAACUACGUG